This 1077-nucleotide long non-coding RNA is filed under the name Salmo salar (Atlantic salmon). Its description in RNAcentral is "lncRNA (ENSSSAG00000093326.1)". Lineage: Eukaryota; Metazoa; Chordata; Actinopteri; Salmoniformes; Salmonidae. The record is from RNAcentral.
AGCCCACAAAGAUCUCCGCCACGGCACAACCCAAGGGGGGCGCCAACCCAGACAGGAAGACCACGUCAGUGACUCAACACACUCAAGUGACGCACCCCCCCUAGGGACGGCAUGGAAGAACACCAAUAAGCCAGUGACUUAGCCCCUGUAAUAGGGUUAGAGGCAGAGAAUCCCAGUGGAGAGAGGGGAACCAGGCAGAGACAGAAAGGACUGUUCGUUGCUCCAGAAACCUUUCUGUUCACCUUCACACUCCUGGGCCAGACUACACUCAAUCAUAGGAUCCACUGAAGAGAUGAGUCUUCAGUAAAGACUUAAAGGUUGAGACCGAGUCUGCGUCUCUCACAUGGUUAGGCAGACCAUUCCAUAAAAAUGGAACUCUACAGGAGAAUGCCCUGCCUCCAGCUGUUUGCUUAGAAAUUCUAUGGACAAUUAGGAGGCCUGCGUCUUGUGACCGUCAUGUACGUGUAGACAGGACAAGGUUGAAGUGAGUAAGCAAUGUUCAAGCUAUCCCGAGGGCAGAUAUGCAGAGAACUGUGCUGCCUUCCAGAUAAAAAAAACAAAUAUAGUGUAACAAGGGUCGUAUAAAGGGGACCAAGGCGCGGCGUGUAGAGUGCUCAUACUUUUCUUUAAUGAAACACUUAACCAAAAAACAACAAAACGACAACCAACAGUUCCGUCAGGUACACUUGACAAAACGGAAAACAACUACCCACAAAAACACAUGAAAACAGGCUGCCUAAGUAUGGCUUCCAAUCAGAGACAACGAUAGACAGCUGCCUCUGAUUGGAAACCAUACCUGGCCAAAACAUAGAAAAUGAAAACAUAGAAUUCCCACCCACCUAUCACACCCUGACCUAACUAAACAAGAAAAACACAGCUCUCCUAGGUCAGAGUGUGACAUAUAGUUACCCUUUUCUUGCUAAAGAUGAGCUUAGUUAAAUGUGGAUUCCCGAUUUGGCCUGUGCUGCUGGCUAAUUAUUUGGCUAUGUUAGCAAAACGGUUGCUAUAUGCAAUGGCUAAAACAGUUUAGCUAACACUUACUUGGAGAGCAUAUAGAUUGAUGAAUCAGAAUACAGC